Non-coding RNA from Chlorocebus sabaeus (green monkey), 303 nucleotides. The record is from Rfam. NCBI's taxonomy places the organism in Eukaryota, Metazoa, Chordata, Mammalia, Primates, Cercopithecidae.
GCCGGGCAUGGUGGCAGGUGCCUGUAAUCCCAGCUACUCGGGGAGGCCGAGGUGGGCGGAUCACAAGGUCAGGAGAUCGAGACCAUCCUGGCUAACACGGUGAAACCCCGUCUCUACUAAAAAAUAUUAAAAAAUAGCCGGGCGAGAUGGCGGGCGCCUGUAGCCCCAGCUGCACGGGAGACUGAGGCAGGAGAAUGGNGCCACCACGCCUGCCUAAUUUUUUGUAUUUUUAGUAGAGACGGGGUUUCACCGUGUUAGCCAGGAUGGUCUCGAUCUCCUGACCUUGUGAUCCGCCCACCUCGG